CACCCCCCCACACACACUUUGGGUACUGCUCCCCCUACUCAGCAGGUGACAAGUAUGGGCAAAAGGUCCUCCCAUGCUCCCAGUGUCUGGGGACCAGCUCCCCUCUAGGCUGUUGUGUUUUGCUCCAUUCAGGGCCCUUACAGAAGCAUCAGGUGUAAGUCACAAAGUGAUGGUUUCUGGCUGUGGGUGUCAGCACUUCCACACUUCAAUUUUUUCUUUCCUGACUGCUGGCCCAGAAGUAUCAGACGCUGCAUAGGAUUGUGGAGGAUGCCCACUUGUAUGCGGGGCAGAAGCUGCAAAGGACAGGUCAAGGCUCCUGCCUGAAGUGACAGAAGCAUAGUUCAGGAUAGGACAACUAAAAUAUUUCUACAGGAAACAGAAAGAUACACAACUGUCCCUGGAGCCAGGCAAAUGAGAGCUGUGGAUGCAUGUGGUUAGCUAUGAGGAAAUCUGAAAUUGCUCAAAUCCUGAUGUGGCUACUAGCAUCACCACACAGCUCAAGAGUGUCAGAGAGACUGGGAUGCUGGCACAGGCUUUGAGACACUUCAGAGUUAACACUGAAGAAUUCCCUACAUGACCCAGCCAGCAGGGUACAACCCAUCUCAGCUCAGUUUUCCACUCUAACAGCUGCAGUUUUUUUCCUGUUCUGGACCAGAGUGGUGUGAUUCCAUGUGUGGCAGAAACUGGGCUCUGAAGUGUUGAUGCACCUGAACUUGUGAUGAGAUGGGAGAGAACUGCCUUCAUCCUUGCUAUUCUUGUGUGAGGAAAAAUUGACAGGGAAUAGUUCAGCUGGAAGAGACCUUCAAAGAGACCUUCAGUCCAACUGCCUGAUCACUUCAGAGCUCAAAGUUAAAGCAUGACCUUGAGGAUGUUACCCAAAUGUCUCUCAAACGCUGACAGGAAUGGGGCAUCAACCACCUCUCUAGGAAGCCUGUUCCAGUGUUUCAUCACCCUCGCAGUGAAGAAAUUUCUGCUCAUGUCUGGUCUGACCCUUUACUGGCACAGCUCUGCUGGCUGCAGCCAUCCUGCCAUCAGUGACCAGGGAGCAGAGAAUGGCACCUCAGUCUGUGCUUCCCCUCCUCAGGGAGCUGCAGAGCAGCAAGGCUGCCUCUUAGCCUCCUCUUCUCCAGACUGGAUGAUCCAAGUGGCCUCAGCCUCUCCGCAAAGGAUGCAUCUUCCAGUAUCUUUACCAGCUUUGCUGGCCUCCUCUGUAUGCUUCCAGAGCAUCCUUCUUAGACUGGGGAGCCCAGAAGCGUACACAACAUUCAAGGUGGGGCCACACCAACAUUAAACAUGGGUGAAUGUUUUAUGCAGGUAAACAAGUCCUCUCAGCUCUCCUGCUUGAUACUUGAAUUGACACACAAAUGUUUACAUUCCUUAAUCAAUAAGUUGCUAAAUAAGCCACUAGUUAUCCCAAAACACACAGCAGAUGAGAAUGAAUUGAAGGAAUGAUAAAUCACUGGAGAGAUUUUGCUGGUGUGUCUAUGCUAUGGUGCACAGACACAAGAGAGCUCCUUGCCUGCUCUGCUGGGCCAGUCCAGUGGGUGUGCGGUGGCUCCGGCUGGCCAGCAGGAACAAAGGCUCAAGAGAACACAAACAGCUGUGGCCACCCAUUUGAGGAAGUGUAGGCAUGAGUGCAGCCUGCUAGGAUGGGUAAAAUGAUGAUGCUGGACAAGGCCUAAAGACAACACUCAAAUCAAGUUAUGUAAUUACUUUAUAUAAUAAUAUAAAGCCAUAGUUUUAAACCUAUAUACAAGAUCUGGCAGACAAAGUGUUUGUGCUUUGUGUUUUCAUUGGGGAAAUAAAGAAGCAUCCCUUUUUCAUAAUAAAGGUAGAGAAAGUGUUCCAAUUUUUCUGUUGACUUGUAACCCAGCAUGAACUAGCCCAAGAGAGAGCACACACUGGGGCAGAAACAAAGCUUGGGAAGCCUGGAGGUGGUGGUCUCUCUUUUUUCCUCUCCAUAACUCCAAACAGAAAGGAGAAAUAGAGUAGUAUAGGUCUCAUCCAGAAAACGCUUAAAGCCAUACUUAAUUCUUUCGGUGUCAGUGCAAACUACAGCUAUGCUCUGGGGAUGGAGGAGACAGGAUGGUGUGUCAUCUUGCUUUUAUAGAGUUAUGGCUGUAUUCACAGUAAGUUGCUAUAUUCACAAUAGAGCAUGGUCAGCACUAGAGUUAUCCCAGCAGGGAGCAUGGCUACCGAGUUAUCAGACUAGUUCUCUGGUACCUUUCCCAUUUCACUGACACGUGCAAUAGUACAUGACUUUCAAUCUGGAGAGCUUUGACAUUGUCACUACAGCUAGGGGACCUUUUAAUGGCUAUCUAGAGCUUUAAAGGUAUACUUGGAUCAUAUAGUUCUGAUGUGUCUGAUUUUAACCAAUCCUUUGAUUUAUAUUUUGCUUCCAAUUCACUUAAGUGAAAUAACCUUACUCUAGCAGUGUAAGAAAAUGAAAAAUGGAUGCUUAGACUUGAAAAUGUCACAAUAAUGUAUGUUAUAAUUGGGGGAGAUGAAAAUACUUAUCUGAUAAGUUAGCAUGAAUUCAGUGAUUGUUUCAGUCAACCCAAAUGUGUACUUUUGCUGAAAACAAUAUUCUCCUCAGGUCUCCCUGUACAACCAUGAUACAAAUACAACAAAAUUUAUAAGGAUGAAAUUCAAAACAAUGUAAUAAGAAAAUAAAAAUAUAUUGCCAGCAAGUUGCCUAUCACCUAGCUCGGAGGCAAAUAAUAAUUUACAUCUAUGUGGGGUCUUUAAACCAAAUACUGAAUGGCAAGAGUUUCAUUCAUGUGUGAACACAAAGUGUUAACAGAUAACUAGUGAAACAACCACAUUAAAAACAGCUUUAUGGGGAAAAAAAUCAAUGAGAUGAUCAGGUGAAUAUUCUUCUGGAUACAAUGUCACCUUGGAAGCUGGCUGAAGAUGGAAGUGAGGAAGGAAGUGAGUUUAGCUGUGAGGGUGAUUUCUGGAGUUCUCAGGACUUGUUUGCUAAUGCAUUGGAUAACUCAGGCUGCCAGGACUGGAGCAAAGCUUGCAGA
Long non-coding RNA from Anas platyrhynchos (mallard), 3029 nucleotides. RefSeq lists it as uncharacterized. Lineage: Eukaryota; Metazoa; Chordata; Aves; Anseriformes; Anatidae. The record is from RefSeq and is a predicted model, not a curated record.